This 490-nucleotide ribosomal RNA is filed under the name Sympetrum pedemontanum elatum. Its description in RNAcentral is "partial 16S rRNA". Lineage: Eukaryota; Metazoa; Arthropoda; Insecta; Odonata; Libellulidae. The record is from RNAcentral.
AAGAAUUUAAAGGUCGAACAGACCUAUAUAUUAAGCGGCUACACCUAAUUAUUAUCUUAAUCCAACAUCGAGGUCGCAAGCCCUCCUGUAAAUAUGAACUCUGGAGGAGGAUUACGCUGUUAUCCCUAAGGUAACUUGUUCUAAUAAUCACUAAUAGUGGAUCUAAAAAUCAUAUAUCAAUGGUAAAUAAAUGAAAAAGUUAAUUAUAUAUUUUUGUCACCCCAACAAAAUACAAUUUUAUUAUACUCAUAUUAAUAUAUAAGUAAAUAUAAAAAAUUAUAUAAAGAUCUAUAGGGUCUUCUCGUCUUCCAAUAAUAUUUUAGCUUUUUAACUAAAAAAUUAAGUUUUAAAACAAAUAAAAUGAGACAGUCAGUUCCUCGUUAAACCGUUCAUUCCAGCCCUCUAUUAAAAGACUAAUGAUUAUGCUACCUUUGCACGGUCAGUAUACCGCGGCCGUUAAAUUUAUCACUGGGCAGGUCAGACCUUAAAU